UCAUGGCUCAGAUUGAACGCUGGCGGCAGGCCUAACACAUGCAAGUCGAGCGGUAGAGAGAAGCUUGCUUCUCUUGAGAGCGGCGGACGGGUGAGUAAUGCCUAGGAAUCUGCCUGGUAGUGGGGGAUAACGUUCGGAAACGGACGCUAGUACCGCAUACGUCCUACGGGAGAAAGCAGGGGACCUUCGGGCCUUGCGCUAUCAGAUGAGCCUAGGUCGGAUUAGCUAGUUGGUGAGGUAAUGGCUCACCAAGGCGACGAUCCGUAACUGGUCUGAGAGGAUGAUCAGUCACACUGGAACUGAGACACGGUCCAGACUCCUACGGGAGGCAGCAGUGGGGAAUAUUGGACAAUGGGCGAAAGCCUGAUCCAGCCAUGCCGCGUGUGUGAAGAAGGUCUUCGGAUUGUAAAGCACUUUAAGUUGGGAGGAAGGGCAGUUACCUAAUACGUGAUUGUUUUGACGUUACCGACAGAAUAAGCACCGGCUAACUCUGUG
This 495-nucleotide ribosomal RNA is filed under the name uncultured bacterium. Its description in RNAcentral is "bacterial SSU rRNA". It matches the Rfam family "Bacterial small subunit ribosomal RNA", at positions 17 to 507 of the family's 1533-position model. The record is from RNAcentral.